This 1515-nucleotide long non-coding RNA is filed under the name Cyanistes caeruleus (blue tit). Its description in RNAcentral is "lncRNA (ENSCCEG00000004041.1)". The record is from RNAcentral. Lineage: Eukaryota; Metazoa; Chordata; Aves; Passeriformes; Paridae.
AUGUUGUGCCACUCCUGUAUGAAUGCACAGGUUUGUGGAGUGUUUCUCUUCCGGCAUCCAUGGAAAAAACAUCAACAACCAAUCCCGAAAGGAGCAGACUUCACAAACAUUAUUAAACUUGAAUUGCAAGGAGCACCAGUGCAGAGUUUUAUCAGUCCCGUAUUUCUGAUAAACAGGAAUGCACUUCAUUGCUGUGGAGGUGGAUCUGAAUUGCACAGUGUGUCCCCAGAGAGAAGAAGGACUGUCCUGUGCCCGGGGCUGUGUCUGUGGGGCUGUGUCCGGGUGUGCACCAUGGGCAGGGCAGCAGGCGCUGCCAUCCUGCUGCCCCAGGUGCCCCAGGAACAGAAUUUGGCAAAGGAAGAGCUCCCUGUUGGCUCAGUGAGCCACUGCUGGUGGCAGGGCUGGAGCAAAGACUGGGAUGAUGCCCAGGAGAACCGUGAGGGCACAUGGACACCAACACCAGCACCCGAGCUCCCAGCCCAUGAGAUCUGCCCCAGACAGGUCAUCACCUCACUGUUUGCAAUCACUGGAGUCCACUGAGGCAUUGCUGACACAGACCCACUUCUGCUCUGGAACAUCCUACACCUGCAGAGAGCUCUGGAACCCUGUGACAAACAGCUUCUGACCCUGGGGAAACUGCUAAAAAAAUGUGAUAUGCAGUGACUCAGGUUUACUAGGAGAAAACAAAUAUUUAAAGUAUUCAGAGUAGUUUUGGGAGAAUUAUUAACAAGCAGAUAUUAAAGACUCUGGUUUGACACCUGCUCUGUUGUUUUGCCUAUGAUAGGAAACAGAAGUGGCAAAUAGCUGAACCAGGGCAACAGACAGCAGGAAAACAGCAUGAAAGGCAGGCAGAUUGCUGAUGAGAAGAUGGUUUUGGGAUGAUUUUAGUGUGAAAGUUCUUUUAAAAUUAGUAAUUGUGAUCACACAUACAUUGUCUGUGUCAUCUACACCUCCCUGUACUCUUCUUAUGCCUCUCUGUUAUUGUACUUUUAAACCUUAAUUAUUUUUCCACAGAAAUGAAAUUGUUAUUAGCAUCUGUUUUGUCUGCAUAAUUACUGUGUCUGUUAAAAGGCUUAUUUCUGUUAUUUCCAGAUCCCUUCCACAAAUCCUUACAUUGGUAAUUAGGAUAACUUGCAAAUACUGGUGCCAUGAAAAGGAUCAGAAAUUUUCAGUCUGAACCACCAAUUUCCUUCUGAUGACUCAUACUAUAGGGGGUACCAUAAAAAUAUUAAUCAUUUUAGAAAAAAGCAAUAAUUCCAAGCUGUGUUUUACUGUAUGUGUUGCCAAGGAGAUCCAGCUCUGUGAAUGACUUUAGGACCUGGACUCCUCGUACCAGCUACAGGAGAAAUGUCAAAAACGUGAUAAUUUUUUUCAGUCAGAACAAAUUUCAGUAUAGCUUAUUCCAGCUGUGUUUUCAUCCUGGAGACUGAGGAGGGGUCAGAGAAGGCACCUGAGGGUGGGGAGUUGUGCCAGGAGCCUGUUUUGAGCAAUAGGGAGAGUGGAGCUAUGGAGGGU